This 75-nucleotide transfer RNA is filed under the name Ictidomys tridecemlineatus (thirteen-lined ground squirrel). RNAcentral describes it as "Spermophilus tridecemlineatus (thirteen-lined ground squirrel) tRNA". It matches the Rfam family "tRNA". From Rfam's summary of the family: Transfer RNA (tRNA) molecules are approximately 80 nucleotides in length. Their secondary structure includes four short double-helical elements and three loops (D, anti-codon, and T loops). Lineage: Eukaryota; Metazoa; Chordata; Mammalia; Rodentia; Sciuridae. The record is from Rfam by way of RNAcentral.
GGGGAUGGAGCUCAGUGGUAGAGCAUGUGCUUAGUGAGCAUGCACGAGGUCCUGGAUUCAAUCCCAGCACCCCGG